Molecule: non-coding RNA, 520 nt
Organism: Pelobates cultripes (western spadefoot toad)
Lineage: Eukaryota; Metazoa; Chordata; Amphibia; Anura; Pelobatidae
Source: the annotation of a GenBank genome assembly
AUUUCCCCAAAAAGUCCUUUAAGUAUGGAUAUAACCUUUUAAAAUUUCAAAAAUAACCAAAUUGCAGUAAUGCAUAUAAAAUAUAAAGGAGGUGUCUGUUAGUUCAUAUAAUCCUUUUAAACAUACCGUGCAAGGCACUUUUUAAAGAUAAAGCAACAUAGAAAACCGAAAUGUCCAACAAAAGAAGAACUCCAUGUUAUUGUGCAAGUGUGAGAUAUUCUAUUUUUUACAUUUACAUAUCUGGUGAUCUUGCAGCUUCAACAUGAAAUGUGUAAUGUUUUACUUCUAUGCAUAAUAUUCCAUUCCUUGUAUUGUUUAUUCAUUUUUUAUUUUUUAUUUUAGAAGCUGAGUGUGUCUAUUUUGUGACUGGUACAUCAAUUUGAAAUAUUUUGUCAUAUUUGCAGUCGAGCUGUUAUAUAUACACAGUGUUUGAAGCUUUGUGCAACAAUCUGUUCUCUGCCAUUAUAAUAAGUCUGACUGUUUAUGUUAUGCAAGUAAAGUGCAUUUAAAUAAUUCUUUG